RNAcentral lists this ribosomal RNA (592 nucleotides) under Phlebia radiata. Its description in RNAcentral is "LSU rRNA". It matches the Rfam family "Eukaryotic large subunit ribosomal RNA", at positions 50 to 626 of the family's 3401-position model. Lineage: Eukaryota; Fungi; Basidiomycota; Agaricomycetes; Polyporales; Meruliaceae. The record is from RNAcentral.
GCGGCGGAAAAGAAACUAACAAGGAUUCCCCUAGUAACUGCGAGUGAAGCGGGAAAAGCUCAAAUUUAAAAUCUGGCGGUCUUCGAUCGUCCGAGUUGUAGUCUGGAGAAGUGUCUUCCGCGCUGGCCCGUGUACAAGUCUCUUGGAACAGAGCGUCAUAGAGGGUGAGAAUCCCGUCUUUGACACGGACUACCAGUGCUUUGUGAUGCGCUCUCAAAGAGUCGAGUUGUUUGGGAAUGCAGCUCAAAAUGGGUGGUAAAUUCCAUCUAAAGCUAAAUAUUGGCGAGAGACCGAUAGCGAACAAGUACCGUGAGGGAAAGAUGAAAAGCACUUUGGAAAGAGAGUUAAACAGUACGUGAAAUUGCUGAAAGGGAAACGCUUGAAGUCAGUCGCGUCGUCUAGAAAUCAACCUGGCUUUCGCUUGGUGCACUUUCUAGUUGACGGGCCAGCAUCAGUUUUGACCGUUGGAGAAAGGCCUUUGGAAUGUGGCACCUUCGGGUGUGUUAUAGCCUUGGGUCGUAUACAACGGUUGGGACUGAGGUUCGCAGCACGCCUUUUGGCCGGGGUUCGCCCACGUACGUGCUUAGGAUGC